This 253-nucleotide ribosomal RNA is filed under the name uncultured Bifidobacterium sp. RNAcentral describes it as "partial 16S ribosomal RNA". It matches the Rfam family "Bacterial small subunit ribosomal RNA", at positions 524 to 776 of the family's 1533-position model. Lineage: Bacteria; Bacillati; Actinomycetota; Actinomycetes; Bifidobacteriales; Bifidobacteriaceae. The record is from RNAcentral.
UACGUAGGGUGCAAGCGUUAUCCGGAAUUAUUGGGCGUAAAGAGCUCGUAGGCGGUUCGUCGCGUCCGGUGUGAAAGUCCAUCGCUUAACGGUGGAUCUGCGCCGGGUACGGGCGGGCUGGAGUGCGGUAGGGGAGACUGGAAUUCCCGGUGUAACGGUGGAAUGUGUAGAUAUCGGGAAGAACACCAAUGGCGAAGGCAGGUCUCUGGGCCGUUACUGACGCUGAGGAGCGAAAGCGUGGGGAGCGAACAGG